This 228-nucleotide ribosomal RNA is filed under the name Enterobacter hormaechei. Its description in RNAcentral is "partial 23S ribosomal RNA". It matches the Rfam family "Bacterial large subunit ribosomal RNA", at positions 1181 to 1414 of the family's 2925-position model. Lineage: Bacteria; Pseudomonadati; Pseudomonadota; Gammaproteobacteria; Enterobacterales; Enterobacteriaceae. The record is from RNAcentral.
CUAAACGUAUCACCGAAGCUGCGGACUGUUCUUCGAACAGUGGUAGGAGAGCGUUCUAAGGGCUGUGAAGCCAGACCGGAAGGACUGGUGGAGCGCUUAGAAGUGAGAAUGCCGGUAUGAGUAGCGAAAGAGGGGUGAGAAUCCCCUCCACCGAAUGCCUAAGGUUUCCUGAGGAAGGCUCGUCCGCUCAGGGUUAAUCGGGACCUAAGCCGAGGCCGAAAGGCGUAG